GACGAACGCUGGCGGCGUGCUUAACACAUGCAAGUCGAACGGAAAGGCCCUGCUUUUGUGGGGUGCUCGAGUGGCGAACGGGUGAGUAACACGUGAGUAACCUGCCCUUGACUUUGGGAUAACUUCAGGAAACUGGGGCUAAUACCGGAUAGGAGCUCCUGCUGCAGGGUGGGGGUUGGAAAGUUUCGGCGGUUGGGGAUGGACUCGCGGCUUAUCAGCUUGUUGGUGGGGUAGUGGCUUACCAAGGCUUGGACGGGUAGCCGGCCUGAGCGGGUGACCGGCCUCAUUGGGACUGGGAUACGGACCAGACUCCUACGGGAGGCAGCAGUGGGGAAUAUUGCACAAUGGGCGGAAGCCUGAUGCAGCAACGCCGCGUGCGGGAUGACGGCCUUCGGGUUGUAAACCGCUUUCGCCUGUGACGAAGCGUGAGUGACGGUAAUGGGUAAAGAAGCACCGGCUAACUACGUG
This 468-nucleotide ribosomal RNA is filed under the name uncultured bacterium. RNAcentral describes it as "partial 16S ribosomal RNA". It matches the Rfam family "Bacterial small subunit ribosomal RNA", at positions 28 to 507 of the family's 1533-position model. The record is from RNAcentral.